GGUCUGUGAUGGGUGUUGGCGUGUAUUAUCGGAGCAUAAAUCCGAAGAUGGUCAGUUCAGUUGAGCUCUAGAAUGACUCCGAGACCUG
RNAcentral lists this small nucleolar RNA (88 nucleotides) under Pelecanus crispus (Dalmatian pelican). RNAcentral describes it as "Small nucleolar RNA SNORD45". It matches the Rfam family "Small nucleolar RNA SNORD45". Rfam says of the family: U45 belongs to the C/D class of snoRNA which contain the C (UGAUGA) and D (CUGA) box motifs. Lineage: Eukaryota; Metazoa; Chordata; Aves; Pelecaniformes; Pelecanidae. The record is from Rfam by way of RNAcentral.